Molecule: ribosomal RNA, 433 nt
Filed under: uncultured bacterium
Lineage: Bacteria
Description: partial 16S ribosomal RNA
Rfam family: Bacterial small subunit ribosomal RNA
Source: RNAcentral
AGCGAACGCUGGCGGCAGGCCUAACACAUGCAAGUCGAACGAACUCUUCGGAGUUAGUGGCGGACGGGUGAGUAACACGUGGGAACGUGCCUUUUGGUUCGGAAUAACUCAGGGAAACUUGUGCUAAUACCGAAUGUGCCCUUCGGGGGAAAGAUUUAUCGCCAUUAGAGCGGCCCGCGUCUGAUUAGCUAGUUGGUGAGGUAACGGCUCACCAAGGCGACGAUCAGUAGCUGGUCUGAGAGGAUGACCAGCCACACUGGGACUGAGACACGGCCCAGACUCCUACGGGAGGCAGCAGUGGGGAACCUUGCGCAAUGGGCGAAAGCCUGACGCAGCCAUGCCGCGUGAAUGAUGAAGGUCUUAGGAUUGUAAAAUUCUUUCACCGGGGACGAUAAUGACGGUACCCGGAGAAGAAGCCCCGGCUAACUUCGUG